GACGAACGCUGGCGGCGUGCCUAAUACAUGCAAGUUGAGCGCUGAAGGUUGGUACUUGUACCAACUGGAUGAGCAGCGAACGGGUGAGUAACGCGUGGGGAAUCUGCCUUUGAGCGGGGGACAACAUUUGGAAACGAAUGCUAAUACCGCAUAAAAACUUUAAACACAAGUUUUAAGUUUGAAAGAUGCAAUUGCAUCACUCAAAGAUGAUCCCGCGUUGUAUUAGCUAGUUGGUGAGGUAAAGGCUCACCAAGGCGAUGAUACAUAGCCGACCUGAGAGGGGGAUCGGCCACAUUGGGACUGAGACACGGCCCAAACUCCUACGGGAGGCAGCAGUAGGGAAUCUUAGGCAAUGGACGAAAGUCUGACCGAGCAACGCCGCGUGAGUGAAGAAGGUUGUCGGAUCGUAAAACUCUGUUGGUAGAGAAGAACGGUGGUGAGAGUGGAAAGCUCAUCAAGUGACGGUAACUACCCAGAAAGGGACGGCUAAAUACGUG
RNAcentral lists this ribosomal RNA (497 nucleotides) under uncultured bacterium. RNAcentral's name for it is "partial 16S ribosomal RNA". It matches the Rfam family "Bacterial small subunit ribosomal RNA", at positions 28 to 507 of the family's 1533-position model. The record is from RNAcentral.